AAUCAACGCUGGCGGCGUGCCUAACACAUGCAAGUCGAACGCGAAAGUUCCGCAAGGAAUUAGUAGAGUGGCAAACGGGUGAGUAACACGUGGGUGACCUGCCUUCGAGUGGGGGAUAACGUCCCGAAAGGGACGCUAAUACCGCAUAAUAUCCCGCCUUUUAAGAGGUGGAAAUCAAAGCCGGGGAUCGCAAGACCUGGCGCUUGAAGAGGGGCCCGCGUCCGAUUAGCUAGUUGGUGGGGUAACGGCUCACCAAGGCAACGAUCGGUAGCCGGCCUAAGAGGGCGGACGGCCACACUGGGACUGAGACACGGCCCAGACUCCUACGGGAGGGCAGCAGUGGGGGAUCUUGCGCAAUGGGCGAAAGCCUGACGCAGCGACGCCGCGUGAGGGAUGACGGCCUC
This 404-nucleotide ribosomal RNA is filed under the name uncultured bacterium. RNAcentral's name for it is "bacterial SSU rRNA". It matches the Rfam family "Bacterial small subunit ribosomal RNA", at positions 29 to 418 of the family's 1533-position model. The record is from RNAcentral.